Molecule: ribosomal RNA, 482 nt
Filed under: uncultured bacterium
Lineage: Bacteria
Description: partial 16S ribosomal RNA
Rfam family: Bacterial small subunit ribosomal RNA
Source: RNAcentral
UGAACGCUGGCGGCCGGCCUAACACAUGCACGUCGCGCGGCUGAAGGGAGCUUGCUCCUGGCUUCAGCGGCGGACGGGUGAGUAAUGCCUAGGAAUCUGCCUGGUAGUGGGGGAUAACGUCCGGAAACGGGCGCUAAUACCGCAUACGUCCUGAGGGAGAAAGUGGGGGAUCUUCGGACCUCACGCUAUCAGAUGAGCCUAGGUCGGAUUAGCUAGUUGGUGGGGUAAAGGCCUACCAAGGCGACGAUCCGUAACUGGUCUGAGAGGAUGAUCAGUCACACUGGAACUGAGACACGGUCCAGACUCCUACGGGAGGCAGCAGUGGGGAAUAUUGGACAAUGGGCGAAAGCCUGAUCCAGCCAUGCCGCGUGUGUGAAGAAGGUCUUCGGAUUGUAAAGCACUUUAAGUUGGGAGGAAGGGCAGUAAGUUAAUACCUUGCUGUUUUGACGUUACCAACAGAAUAAGCACCGGCUAACUUCGUG